Molecule: ribosomal RNA, 468 nt
Filed under: uncultured bacterium
Lineage: Bacteria
Description: partial 16S ribosomal RNA
Rfam family: Bacterial small subunit ribosomal RNA
Source: RNAcentral
GACGAACGCUGGCGGCGUGCUUAACACAUGCAAGUCGAACGGAAAGGCCCUGCUUUUGUGGGGUGCUCGAGUGGCGAACGGGUGAGUAAAAAGUGAGUAACCUGCCCUUGACUUUGGGAUAACUUCAGGAAACUGGGGCUAAUACCGGAUAGGAGCUCCUGCUGCAUGGUGGGGGUUGGAAAGUUUCGGCGGUUGGGGAUGGACUCGCGGCUUAUCAGCUUGUUGGUGGGGUAGUGGCUUACCAAGGCUUUGACGGGUAGCCGGCCUGAGAGGGUGACCGGCCACAUUGGGACUGAGAUACGGCCCAGACUCCUACGGGAGGCAGCAGUGGGGAAUAUUGCACAAUGGGCGGAAGCCUGAUGCAGCAACGCCGCGUGCGGGAUGACGGCCUUCGGGUUGUAAACCGCUUUCGCCUGUGACGAAGCGUGAGUGACGGUAAUGGGUAAAGAAGCACCGGCUAACUACGUG